This 300-nucleotide long non-coding RNA is filed under the name Trifolium pratense (red clover). RNAcentral describes it as "long non-coding RNA (TPRA_LNC013313)". Lineage: Eukaryota; Viridiplantae; Streptophyta; Magnoliopsida; Fabales; Fabaceae. The record is from RNAcentral.
AACCUUCAUCAAUCAUAAUCAUCACUAUAAAUCAAACCAUCACAAAAAAAAGAGAACAAAAAAAAACACAAAAGAUUUGAGGCAGAAAAUUAGAGGAGACCAAACCAAAAACCCACAGGACAAGAACGGCAGCUGUGCUGCGUUUUUCACUGCACCCUGUUUCCACUUUGAUUCAAAAUCAGUAGCCGCAAUACAAAAAAUAGGAACCUGCAAAUUGAAAGAAGGGAAACUGAUAGGCUUAGGAGAAGAGGAGCAAACUAUCAAAUUUAGGAAGUUCACUGCAAAACCAAGUAAGAGCGC